RNAcentral lists this ribosomal RNA (495 nucleotides) under uncultured bacterium. RNAcentral's name for it is "partial 16S ribosomal RNA". It matches the Rfam family "Bacterial small subunit ribosomal RNA", at positions 28 to 523 of the family's 1533-position model. The record is from RNAcentral.
GAUGAACGCUGGCGGCGUGCUUAACACAUGCAAGUCGAACGGGAAUUACUUUAUUGAAACUUCGGUCGAUUUAAUUUAAUUCUAGUGGCGGACGGGUGAGUAACGCGUGGGUAACCUGCCUUAUACAGGGGGAUAACAGUCAGAAAUGGCUGCUAAUACCGCAUAAGCGCACAGAGCUGCAUGGCUCAGUGUGAAAAACUCCGGUGGUAUAAGAUGGACCCGCGUUGGAUUAGCUUGUUGGUGGGGUAACGGCCCACCAAGGCGACGAUCCAUAGCCGGCCUGAGAGGGUGAACGGCCACAUUGGGACUGAGACACGGCCCAGGCUCCUACGGGAGGCAGCAGUGGGGAAUAUUGCACAAUGGGGGGAAACCCUGAUGCAGCGACGCCGCGUGAAGGAAGAAGUAUCUCGGUAUGUAAACUUCUAUCAGCAGGGAAGAUAGUGACGGUACCUGACUAAGAAGCCCCGGCUAACUACGUGCCAGCAGCCGCCGCGG